RNAcentral lists this ribosomal RNA (635 nucleotides) under Pleurotus sp. 'Florida'. RNAcentral's name for it is "LSU rRNA". It matches the Rfam family "Eukaryotic large subunit ribosomal RNA", at positions 37 to 675 of the family's 3401-position model. Lineage: Eukaryota; Fungi; Basidiomycota; Agaricomycetes; Agaricales; Pleurotaceae. The record is from RNAcentral. RNAcentral also lists the same sequence under 1 other name.
UGCAUAUCAAAAAAGCGGAGGAAAAGAAACUAACAAGGAUUCCCCUAGUAACUGCGAGUGAAGCGGGAAAAGCUCAAAUUUAAAAUCUGGUGGUCUUUGGCCAUCCGAGUUGUAAUCUAGAGAAGUGUUAUCCGCGCUGGACCGUGUACAAGUCCCCUGGAAUGGGGCGUCAUAGAGGGUGAGAAUCCCGUCUUUGACACGGACUACCAGGGCUUUGUGAUGCACUCUCAAAGAGUCGAGUUGUUUGGGAAUGCAGCUCAAAAUGGGUGGUAAAUUCCAUCUAAAGCUAAAUAUUGGCGAGAGACCGAUAGCGAACAAGUACCGUGAGGGAAAGAUGAAAAGAACUUUGGAAAGAGAGUUAAACAGUACGUGAAAUUGUUGAAAGGGAAACGCUUGAAGUCAGUCGCGUCUGCCAGGGAUCAACCUUACUUUUGUGAGGCGUACUUCCUGGUUGAUGGGUCAGCAUCAGUUUUGGUCGCUGGAUAAAGGUCAGAGAAAUGUGGCACCUUCGGGUGUGUUAUAGUCUUUGAUCAGAUACAGUGGCUGGGACUGAGGAACUCAGCGCCGCAAGGCUGUCUUAGGAUGCUGGCAAAAUGGCUUUAAUCGACCCGUCUUGAAACACGGACAAAGGAGUC